RNAcentral lists this ribosomal RNA (427 nucleotides) under uncultured bacterium. RNAcentral describes it as "partial 16S ribosomal RNA". It matches the Rfam family "Bacterial small subunit ribosomal RNA", at positions 355 to 774 of the family's 1533-position model. The record is from RNAcentral.
UGGGGAAUAUUGGACAAUGGGCGAAAGCCUGAUCCAGCCAUGCCGCGUGUGUGAAGAAGGUCUUCGGAUUGUAAAGCACUUUUAGUUGGGAGGAAGGGCAUUAACCUAAUACGUUAGUGUUUUGACGUUACCGACAGAAUAAGCACCGGCUAACUCUGUGUCAGCAGCCGCGGGAAUACAGAGGGUGCAAGCGUUAAUCGGAAUUACUGGGCGUAAAGCGCGCGUAGGUGGUUUGUUAAGUUGGAUGUGAAAGCCCCGGGCUCAACCUGGGAACUGCAUCCAAAACUGGCAAGCUAGAGUACGGUAGAGGGUGGUGGAAUUUCCUGUGUAGCGGUGAAAUGCGUAGAUAUAGGAAGGAACACCAGUGGCGAAGGCGACCACCUGGACUGAUACUGACACUGAGGUGCGAAAGCGUGGGGAGCAAACA